RNAcentral lists this long non-coding RNA (1319 nucleotides) under Sus scrofa (pig). RNAcentral's name for it is "lncRNA (ENSSSCG00025014980.1)". The record is from RNAcentral. Lineage: Eukaryota; Metazoa; Chordata; Mammalia; Artiodactyla; Suidae.
AGUCAGGAUUGCCAGCCAACCUGCUCCAGGACCUGUGUGCUCUACUGCUUCCAGGGUACACAGUUGUUGUUUAGUAAAGACUCAAUGACCAAGACUUCCUCUGCAUAUAUACAUGCGCAUGUUUAUUUGCAUGAAUAAAAAGGUUUCCCUGUGCUUUCAGCACCUGAGCAUGGCACAGCGUGUGAGCCUUCUGGUCCUUCUCCUGGGAGUGCUGGCAUUUCAGAUGAAAGGGGUGCUUGGUUUGUCAGAUGAGAGCAGUGACAGCAGUCCUGGGCACCGAAAGAGCUACUACGUGGUUUGGAUGCUGGUAAGUCAAUAGCAUUUGCCUUUCCUGAAAAAAUGAAGGUACUUUGGAUCAGGGUUUCUCAAAGCAGCACCAUUGACUUUAGGGGCUGAUGAUUCUCUGCUGCUGGGUUUCCCUGUCAUUGCAGGGUGUUUAUCAGCAUCUCUGACCUGUUCCCUCUAGAUGCUAAUAGCACCUCUGUCCUCUAUAUGGGACAACCAAUGUCUCCAGAUAUGGUCAGAUGUCCCCUGGAGACAGAACUUCUCCCCAGUUAAAACUCUUAAUUUUUUACUUUUUUCCAUCGUGGCACAGCAGAAAUGAAUCCAGCUAGGAACCAUGAGGUUACAGGUUCUAUCCCUGGCCUCGCUCAGUGGGUAAAGGAUGGUUAAGGAUCUGACGUUGCCGUGAGAUGUGAUAUAGGUCACAGACAUGGCUCAGAUCCUGUGUUGUCACAAGUGUGGCCCUAAAAAGCAAAAAACAAAAUCAAAAACCCUCUUGUUUUAGAUAAUUUACAGGAGACGCCUACUUAAGUUGGAGAAAUUUAGCACACUGGCAAUACUUGAGGGGCUAGUAAAAUAUGAGCAUCUGAAUUUUUCAAAUCUCUUGUGUACUGAACCCAAACAAGAAUGUUUUGGAUUCAGGGAGAACAGAUUUAUUUUUGCAUAUAAUAUUUUUCUGUCAUACCAGAGGAAUUCAGUACUGGGCUUAGUUUAGAAGACAGAAAGUUCAAACUAACCGUUUGAGUUCCAGUAUCAUCCCAAAGGAAAUCCUACAAUACCACCUACAUCAACAAAAUAAUUUAAUCAUUUAGGACAUAAUGAUGAGGAUUUUUUUUUGUCUUUUUGCUAUUUCUUUGGGCCGCUCCUGCGGCAUAUGGAGGUUCCCAGGCUAGAGGUCUAAUCGGAGCUGUAGCUGCCAGCCUACGCCAGAGCCACAGCGACACGGGAUCCGAGCCGCAUCUACAACCUACACCACUGCUCAUGGCAAUGCCGGAUCGUUAACCCACUGAGCAAGGGCAGGGACGGAACCCGCAACC